RNA transcript from Rosa chinensis, 1582 nucleotides. RefSeq lists it as uncharacterized. The transcript has 5 exons. The record is from RefSeq and is a predicted model, not a curated record. Lineage: Eukaryota; Viridiplantae; Streptophyta; Magnoliopsida; Rosales; Rosaceae.
AAAAAAACAAAGCCCUAGAAGAAAGCGGCAUUCACUCCACAACCACCCCCGACACUGAGAGACCCUCACAAACGCCCUGCCCUUUCUUCGACAGACCCCGACACUCUCUCUUCUUCACAAACCCUGACCUCUCUCUCUCCUCGACAAACCCUUUCUCGAUAGGCCCCAACCCUAUCCCUUCUUCGACAGACCCCAACCAAAGCUGUCUCUCUCUUCGACAAACCUAGACAAAAACCAUCUCUGCCUCUAGCGAUCUGGGAGCGAUCUGGUUACUCGAUCUAGGAAGUAGUGAAGGGGAAGAAAACCUAAUGGGUAGCCUCUAGGGUUCUUCAGAUCUUUCACCGAUGGUGGUUAUUGCUUUCGGGUAGAGUUGAAUCAGAGAAAGAAGACCUCGAAUUGCCAGGGUUCGAAAUCGGAGUCGGAUUAAUUAGCGUUAGGGAUUUGCGUCGAUUUUCGACAGGCUUUAGGAUUUUGAUUCUAAAUUCAGCUAUGGGUAACUGGGAUUUGAAUUUUGUGGUCUCAGUAUUGGAUUCGAACGUACAUUGGAGCUGUGGAUUUGAGAUUGAAGGCAAAAAUGUCAAAAUUUGGGCCAAGAAGGUAACUAAGUUGCUACUACUUCAAUUAAGAGAUCAAUAGUGGUUUUGGCUUUACCAUCUUCCGCGAUUGCGAAAUGAGGGCUUGGCUUUGGGGGUUUUGGUCCUGGCGAGGCUCGUCCACCAUCUAUUCGCAGCAGGCGUGACUAUGGGAGGCUGCAUUGAACGCUGCGUUUUAGGUUCGGGUUCGGGUUCAUGUCUGGGAGAAGGUUCUGGAGAGGGACUUGGUGUUAUUUAAAGGCACCAAGGCGAAACAGACUGAGGAUGUUGCUUAUAGGAUGCAUGAAUGGGAUUUUCCAAAUUUUCGAUCGACACCAAGUCCUCACUGGUAGGAGGAUUAGCCACCACAAGAGGCUUCCUCCAGGGAAUUCGCACUAUAGCAAUGGUGGCCUGGAAAGAGAGUCCAACAAUCCCUACCAUUGGCAAGCAGUAACUGUGUGGGAUGCAACUGCAGCUGAUCCUAAAUUGCUGGUCUUUUUGAAAUCGUACAAGAAUUUCUUACACAUUGAAUCUGGGUAAACAUGGUAUCAAGAAACAACCGUUUCAGCUUCCUGAUUUCAUUGCUGCAACUGGUACUGAGAAAAUUAGACAGGGAGAAGUGGAAACCUAUCUUUAAAAAGCACAUUUCUGGCCAAGUUUGUCGUGGUGGUUUUGUUCUAAAAACAAUGAUCCAAGUUUGAAGGCUGCCUGCUUCUAAACUGGACAAUCAUGUGGAAGAUGGAGCAGUGACGAAAGCUUUUGAAGUGAUAGAGAGAAAUUUGUUUAGCUAGAAGUUGGUCUUUUUUGGGUUGGCCUUAAUUGUAGUUCUCCUAUAGAUGUGAUUAUGUGACAUUUUUAGGUACAUUUCUGGAUGUAUUUUGCUAUAAGAGUUUCAAAGAUGUGAUCCCUUAUUUUGUGGAUACAUCGGAUCCAUUUAGACUGCUAUGGGAUUAUAACAGCUUUCUAUUAUGAUUAAAUUACUAUUCUUUUGGUCAUUUUUGCUUCCAGAA